GCCAAAUGGUUACUGCUUUCACUUUGUAGUUGGUCAGUAACCACAAUUUCAGCACUGAUGAAGGAUACCCAGCCCCUCCGGUCUGAAAUACUUCCCAGGACUAACCAGAUAUUCUGACUGCAAAUUUAAAGCUUGAAGAGUUAAAUUUCAAAGAUAGAGUUCCCAUAUCAGUUGUAAUUCAAAGGUCGUGCGUACCCCUUGGCUUUAAGCAACAAGCAUAAUGGCUCAUGAAAAAGCUGAAAAUAUUGCCUGGCUGCAAUGGCUCUGAGUUAUGGCUGCCCAGAGCCACACAGGUCUGGACUGUAAGUGAUGGCCACUCAGGGCACGUGGUUGUGGGGAUCGUGCUGUGUUGCCUUAACACCACUUUACAUGGUGAUGCUUUAGCUAGUUGGUUUUCCCAGAGUGUCUCAGACCCACUGGCAGUAAAUUACCUUCUUCAGUCUCAAGCUUGUCAUGAACAAGUGAUUUACUACCAGCGAGUGAGCACUUUAUUUCCAAAAGGGAACAUAUUUUUCUCAUCAUGCUCCAUUCAUUUUUGAAUGCUCACUUAUUAUAAUUAUUCACUUUUCAAGCCCAUGCCACAGAGAUCCACAGACAAACACUCUCAGCUGCAGUUUGCCCACAAUCAAGGAUGUACUGGAUCCUUCUGCCCGGACCAGUGUCCACCUUGUUCUUGGUUCCCUUGUUGAGCAAUUAAGUACCUGUAUGUCCAAGCAGACACUUCCUUAUCUCCAUGAGCUCAUAUUUCAGAAGCAGAAGCCGCCUCUUCCCUUAUUUUUCCCAAAUUGGCAAUCUUUUCUUUAUAGAGUACACCUUAAAGGUACCUGGAUAAUCUAAUUCUAAUCAAUAAUAGUAUGGAAUAUCCCUCUGAAACAUUGAUGGAGUCCCAGCCAGCCGGACAAGCUAGCUUUCUGCAAGCCUGAAAUGUUGAGGAGGCCAGGGCACAUCACCUUCUCCCCGGAACCAAAUGAACUUUAUGGAUAGUUGUACUUUGCAGGACCUGUUUACACUGGGCGUGUAAACGCAAUCAUGGUCAGGUGGUCUCUUACUUAUUAAAAUCAGGAGCU
Herpailurus yagouaroundi (jaguarundi) is the source of this 1067-nucleotide long non-coding RNA. RefSeq lists it as uncharacterized. The record is from RefSeq and is a predicted model, not a curated record. The transcript has 2 exons. Lineage: Eukaryota; Metazoa; Chordata; Mammalia; Carnivora; Felidae.